RNAcentral lists this long non-coding RNA (409 nucleotides) under Physcomitrium patens. Its description in RNAcentral is "long non-coding RNA (PPAT_LNC011659)". Lineage: Eukaryota; Viridiplantae; Streptophyta; Bryopsida; Funariales; Funariaceae. The record is from RNAcentral.
GGAGGUGAAAGGAUGAAUAGAAGUGGAUGAAAAUGUGAAACUCGUUUGGAUGGAUGAAAUAAUGAGGGGCAGAGGAGGACUCAUGGCACUUCCAUGGUUACCUGAAAGGCCUGGCCUUGGUUUGUACACUUCUCCCUCCUUCCCUCACACAUCUGAUGUGAAUGGAUGGAUGAAAACAGGAAAUGAAUGAAAUAUACUCCCCAUGCUCUGUUCGCCUGGAACGCUGGCAUGACCCAAAAAGGCAAAGGAGACAAAAACAACCAACAAAAACAUUAAAGGGGAGAAGGGAAGGAUUAAUAUUAGUUAAUGUUGUUUCAAUUUCAAAAUUAAGUAGUCCAUGCAUAGUUUACUCAGUCAAGAUAUGUCAUAAAUGUUGAGAAUGCUAACUUUGAAAUAUAUGUAUGUAUGU